GGACUUGCACACGUGGCCCGCGUAGUACAACGGGAAGAACAGAAAGUUCCAGUUGGUGGCGAACCAGGGAUUCCCACAAUUUAAGGAAAACUCAAUUCCAGACAAAAGCAAUCACUUUUUGAUGUACACACAGAUUACCUGCCAGUUUUGCUUGGCUUCUGCAGCCCUUCAUUACAGGGGGACAUAUAAGGGAUCCACACUCUAAUCAGCAGAAGCAGUACCUAGGGGCAACAUCUACUCAGCAGAAGGAAACUCUGCACCACAAUGAGUGAGUGACCUGGAGCUCUCAUUUUAGCCAUGAGCUCAUCUAGGGACCAAGGCAAGUCCUGUACCCCACAAACUAUUCACUGCUUUUCCUCUGGGAAAAUGAACAACUGUGCGCUCUUUAUGUUUAUUUAGUGAAAAUCACUUGUAUAGUGAUAAACCAAGAAGAAUUAGAAAAUCAUUUGCUUUCUCCUAAAGUUUCCAUAAAAUGACUGUCUUGCACUGCCAAGAAAACAUGAAUAUUUCUUGACAAGGCCCCUUGGAAUAAGCAGAUCUUGCUGAUGACCUUUGUGGAAAUGUCUUCAGGGACAGUCCUGUCCUCAGGGUAAAGAAUGAAGAACUGAGAUCACAUCUCAGACACCACUGGCUGGCAUGCCCCAAGCCUCCCACAAGCAUGGCAGAUGAAACUGUGUAGAGAAUGGGAGGAGAUGGCUUUCACCUGGCAUCUACAUCCACAAAACUUAUAGAGUUACUUUCUUUCAACUUUAUCGAGGUAUAAUUUUCUUACCAUAAAAUUUCAUCGUCUGUGUACAGCUCAAUGCUUUUAGUUCACAGUUUGUAAGUUAAUAGAACUGUGAAACCAUCACUAUCAACAGAUUUAGAACAGUUUUGUCACCCAAAGUGAGUUCUCAUGUCUAGUUGAAGUCACUCCUCGUGCCUACCCUCUACCCCAAUGAAUUGUGAGUCUUGUUUUCUGUCUCUAUAAGUUUGCUUAUUCUGGAUAUGUUUACCUUUUUUAUUCCUAGAGUGACUAGGGAAAGACAGGCCUUAGUGAACAAUUUCCCAUUUAUUCAUAUUACUAGAUGCUCCAAUUCAGGGCUCUUACAAAAUGAGAAGCUUGGAAGAAAGCUUCUGCUUAUGGUCAUUUGCAAAUAUAAUUUAUGUUCCAAAAAUGCAUUUUGGGUUUGGUUUCUCUCUUAUACUCAUUAAA
Chinchilla lanigera (long-tailed chinchilla) is the source of this 1195-nucleotide long non-coding RNA. RefSeq lists it as uncharacterized. The transcript is spliced from 3 exons. The record is from RefSeq and is a predicted model, not a curated record. NCBI's taxonomy places the organism in Eukaryota, Metazoa, Chordata, Mammalia, Rodentia, Chinchillidae.